CUACUCUAGUUUCUCUUCAGAUUGUAUAAAUCUUUCACCUUUUACUAAAGAUUUCCAUGGAGAGGAACAACUGUGUCUUAAACCAAUUUUUUGAGGCUUGCUUUUUAGCAGGGA
Saimiri boliviensis boliviensis (Bolivian squirrel monkey) is the source of this 114-nucleotide small nuclear RNA. Its record names the gene U5. It matches the Rfam family "U5 spliceosomal RNA". From Rfam's summary of the family: U5 RNA is a component of both types of known spliceosome. The record is from Ensembl. Lineage: Eukaryota; Metazoa; Chordata; Mammalia; Primates; Cebidae.